GGGUAUUAAUGUAAUUUCACGGGACAUUUGUUUUAAAUAGCGAGGCCACUGCACUGCACCCUACAGUGCGCUAGGGUUUCUUCUUCAACUGCGGCUUCAGAGUUUCGUCGGAGGAACUUUGAUUCGAGAUGUCCAGAGUUUACGUGGGGAAUUUGGAUCCACGGGUUACUGAACGCGAACUCGAGGAUGAAUUUCGCGUGUUUGGAGUGAUUAGAAGUGUUUGGGUUGCCAGAAGACCACCUGGUUAUGCUUUUAUUGACUUUGACGAUCGUAGGGAUGCCCAGGAUGCUAUCAGGGAGGUUGAUGGAAAAAAUGGCUGGAGAGUUGAAAUGUCACACAAUUCAAGGGGUGGAGGAGGAGGUGGUGGUGGUGGUGGUGGCCGUGGACGAUCUGGUUCUGAUUUGAAAUGCUAUGAAUGUGGUGAGCCUGGUCAUUUUGCCCGUGAAUGCAGAAAUCGAGGAGGUUCUGGAAGGCGUAGGAGUCGAACUCCUCCUAGGUAUCGUAGGAGUCCAAGUUAUGGUCGAAGGAGUUACAGUCCUCGUGGUCGUUCCCCGCGUGGACGAUCCCCUCCGCGUCGCAGUUUGUCGCCUAGAGGCCGCAGCUACAGCAAGUCACCACCCUAUCGUGGACGAGAGGAGGUUCCAUAUGCAAAUGGAAAUGGGGUUAGGGAAAGGCGCAGGAGCAGAAGCUGAACUUGGAUAAGCCAUUAGUGCUCUUGAACCACUGAAGAAGUUUUUGAAUUGUGUUUACUGUGAUUGGACUUAUGUACGACUGUGUAAGUGUGGGGUGACGCCUCAGCUUCUUCUACUCGUGGAUUUGGUUGUCGUUACUACUUCAGUAGUGUUUGCCUGGUACUGCUUCAUUGGUAUCGUGCAUCUGCACUCUUCACUACUUGUGUUUCGACCUCUCCACCACCCGUGGGAUCUUCAAUUUCAAUGAUUGUGGAUCCCCGCUGGCUUCUCUGCUAGAUGCUUCUUUUCAUUGCAUUUCUGCGGCUAUGAUGCGCCCCCUCUCCGCAAAUAUUUAUGGUAUUUCCUUAGAUGUAAGGUUCUCUGAUGAUCAAGUUCCACGCUACGGGCAGGUAUUCAAUCCAUUAUAUGUGGAUAGUCAAGGCAUGCCAUUUUCUUUCAAAUAUAACCCCUCUCUAUGCGCCAUUAUUCUUUGCCCAAAUAAGAUUUUUAUUUCAUAUUUUACUGAGUUCUCCUCAUUGAAUACUAAGAAAAAUUUUGUUUCAUUUAUUCAUCAAUGGCAAUUGGGGCGGGCUUUUCUUAAUCCAUCUUUAUUUUUUGAUAUUACGUGUCAUGCAUUUACGGAAACAUGUCUUUUUUUUAGUGGGGUGGGGGAUCUUAUUUUUUAGUUUAGGGUACAUCUGUACUUGUCACUCUUGGCCAAGUCAAUGCAACCUUGCGUAGUACAGUAUUUUUUAAGUCCAAGCUUGUCGUCUGUCAGUCAGUCGUUUGGUCUUCAGUGGGAGGGUAUCUUCAUUGUUGCUGCACCUUGUUUACUUACUUGCCCUCCCUGCUACUCUGUCAUGCGGUUUAAUUUGUCUAUACGGGAGGUAAGUGAUUAACCUUUGUUUGUUUUGUUGUGUACUUGUUAUUGCCACUAUGCUGUUUGUACCAAACCCAGAAAAUGUGUUUCAUAUUAACAAACUAUUUAUUUA
RNA transcript from Andrographis paniculata, 1663 nucleotides. It is a transcript of the gene named serine/arginine-rich splicing factor RSZ22-like, with no coding region annotated. Lineage: Eukaryota; Viridiplantae; Streptophyta; Magnoliopsida; Lamiales; Acanthaceae. The record is from RefSeq and is a predicted model, not a curated record. The transcript has 7 exons.